Molecule: transfer RNA, 75 nt
Filed under: Ciona intestinalis (vase tunicate)
Lineage: Eukaryota; Metazoa; Chordata; Ascidiacea; Phlebobranchia; Cionidae
Description: tRNA-Met (CAT) (tRNA-Met-CAT-3-1)
Rfam family: tRNA
About the family: Transfer RNA (tRNA) molecules are approximately 80 nucleotides in length. Their secondary structure includes four short double-helical elements and three loops (D, anti-codon, and T loops). Further hydrogen bonds mediate the characteristic L-shaped molecular structure. tRNAs have two regions of fundamental functional importance: the anti-codon, which is responsible for specific mRNA codon recognition, and the 3' end, to which the tRNAs corresponding amino acid is attached (by aminoacyl-tRNA synthetases). tRNAs cope with the degeneracy of the genetic code in two manners: having more than one tRNA (with a specific anti-codon) for a particular amino acid; and 'wobble' base-pairing, i.e. permitting non-standard base-pairing at the 3rd anti-codon position.
Source: Rfam by way of RNAcentral
GCCACGAUGGCGCAGUAGGCAGCGCGUGAGUCUCAUAAUCUCAAGGUCCGUGAGUUCGAUCCUCCACUCGUGGCA